GUGGGGAAUCUUGGACAAUGGGCGCAAGCCUGAUCCAGCCAUGCCGCGUGAGUGAUGAAGGCCCUAGGGUCGUAAAGCUCUUUCGCCUGUGAUGAUAAUGACAGUAGCAGGUAAAGAAACCCCGGCUAACUCCGUGCCAGCAGCCGCGGUAAUACGGAGGGGGUUAGCGUUGUUCGGAAUUACUGGGCGUAAAGCGCGCGUAGGCGGACUAUUAAGUCAGGGGUGAAAUCCCGGGGCUCAACCCCGGAACUGCCUUUGAUACUGGUAGUCUUGAGUUCGAGAGAGGUGAGUGGAAUUCCGAGUGUAGAGGUGAAAUUCGUAGAUAUUCGGAGGAACACCAGUGGCGAAGGCGGCUCACUGGCUCGAUACUGACGCUGAGGUGCGAAAGUGUGGGGAGCAAACAGGAUUAGAUACCCUAGUAGUCC
This 425-nucleotide ribosomal RNA is filed under the name uncultured bacterium. RNAcentral describes it as "bacterial SSU rRNA". It matches the Rfam family "Bacterial small subunit ribosomal RNA", at positions 354 to 796 of the family's 1533-position model. The record is from RNAcentral.